UGUAGCACAGCGGGAGGUGGCAAAAGAGGAGAUGCUAUUUGCAUAAAGUGUUUCUGGUAAAGAGAUAGAAACAGAAGAAUAGAAUAAAAAGGGCCCUUUUCUCCUAUGUUACUGGCUUCAGGGAAUAUAUUUCAUACCAAGAAAAGGAAUGGAUAGAACUGAGAUCGUAGGAUUGACUGCUGCAGCGAACAUUGUUUAUGUGCCAACAUCCACAGUAUACAAAUGAUACGGCCAUGGGACCCGGAUGGAAAAUGCAGUGAGCACUAGGAGACAGUCCCCGGCCCCAGAGCUCGCAGCCUCUGGAAGCAAACACACAGCCCAGGUGAGAAAGCAAAGGUCCACAGAAGGAGAUGGCGUGCCCUGCCAAAUUCAGUUUUCCUCUGCUACAAGCCACAAUUCUAUAUACAAACCUCGGUAAAAGAAGAAAAGCAAUACUUCUCCUGCCUACUGCACAGACUUAUACUGAGUGAAGAGGUGAAUUUGCAGGAUGAAGCUAGAAAGGUAUGAUUCUGCAUCGUGUAAGGGGUCAGGCCCUGGAAAUGCAGAUGCAAGAACUAACUUAAACAUUCCAGGGAAUAGAAGUGACCGACAUUUCCAG
This 598-nucleotide long non-coding RNA is filed under the name Equus caballus (horse). RNAcentral describes it as "lncRNA (ENSECAG00000043713.2)". Lineage: Eukaryota; Metazoa; Chordata; Mammalia; Perissodactyla; Equidae. The record is from RNAcentral.